Molecule: long non-coding RNA, 337 nt
Filed under: Triticum aestivum (bread wheat)
Lineage: Eukaryota; Viridiplantae; Streptophyta; Magnoliopsida; Poales; Poaceae
Description: long non-coding RNA (TAES_LNC017602)
Source: RNAcentral
UUCCUGAUUGGCCAGCCCCUCGUGUUCUCCCCACGCGUAUCCUCGUCUCUUUCCGCACGCCAACAUAGCCGAUCUCAGCGUCGGCAGAUCUGGUGAGCGUCGGGAGGAGAAGAACGAGCCUGCGAGGCGACGACCGUGGGGGAAUCGACCAGAUCCGCCGCGUGCCCGUCUGGAGGACGGGAACACGGUGACGGGGGCUGGUUCGACGCGCACCUCCGCCACCGAGCCUUGCAUCGCCGGCCACCGAGCCUUGCAUCGCCGGCCACCAUCCCCUCCCCUCACACGCCGCCACUGUCAAGAUAUAUCGGUGCGCCCCUCCUCACCGUCAGGCCGCAGG